UCGAGAACCGACCGAAAGACCACGAACCUGUGAACAGAUUACACUGUGUCUGGCGGGCAUUAUGCCCGCCCUACUAGGGACCUCGCACCGUGUCCGUGGCCGCCCUGAGCAUUCUGAACAUAAUUUGCGGGGGACGGAUGAAACCUCGGCGCGGCCUGCGCCAAGAAACAUAUGACAGGACGGAUGCACGUCAAUGCCUCUGUGGUGGGGCAUCAUCCGCUCUCUAUC
Molecule: unclassified non-coding RNA, 228 nt
Filed under: Cardiocrinum giganteum
Lineage: Eukaryota; Viridiplantae; Streptophyta; Magnoliopsida; Liliales; Liliaceae
Description: ITS 1
Source: RNAcentral